UCAAGGUAAUAAGGGCAUAUGGUGGAUGUCUUGGCAUCAGGCGGCGAAGAAGGACGCGGCAGGCUGCGAAAAUUCACGGGGAGCUGCGAGCGAGCAUAGAUCCGUGGGUAUCCGAAUGGGGCAACCCAUCCACUGAAGAGGUGGAUAUUGUAUGCUGAACACAUAGGCAUACAAGGCUAACCUCCCGAAGUGAAACAUCUCAGUAGGGAGAGGAAUAGAAAUCUAAAGAGAUUCUCUAAGUAGCGGCGAGCGAAAGGGGAGUAGCCCAAACCCAGCUUAGAACCAAGGGCGGAAGAGCGGAAGGGGAGGCAGAGCGAAGGUUUUUAAACUUCCGAGCUAAUGACUUCCGAGCUUAGUUCUAAGCUGGGGGUUGUAGGACCGCAUGAGUACCAUUAUAUACUUAUAGCUGAAGAAGCAUGGAAAGGCUUACCGUAGGGGGUGAUAGUCCUGUAGGCGGAAUGAGUAUAUAGGGGAAGCGGAAUCCUGAGUACCACGGGGCACGAGGAAUCCUGUGGGAAGCAGGGGGGACCACCCUCCAAGGCUAAAUACGACCUGAUGACCGAUAGUGGACAAGUACCGUGAGGGAAAGGUGAAAAGAACCCUUGUUAAGGGAGUGAAAUAGAACCUGAAACCGUAUGCUUACAAGUAAUCGGAGCCCCUGCAAUGGGGUGACGGUGUACCUUUUGAUUAAUGGGCCGGCGAGUUAUUAGCUGUAGCGAGGUUAAAGUUUUAAGGACUGGAGCCGUAGGGAAACCGAGUCUGAAUAGGGCGUAUUAGUUACAGUUAAUAGACCCGAAGCCAGGUGAUCUACCCAUGGUCAGGAUGAAGCGGAGGUAAGACUUCGUGGAGGUCCGAACCGGUGUUUGUUGCAAAAAGCUCGGAUGAACUGUGGGUGGGGGUGAAAGGCCAAUCAAACCUGGUGAUAGCUGGUUCUCCCCGAAAUGUAUUUAGGUACAGCCUUUAAGUAGUCGCAGGGGGGUAGGGCACUGGAUGGGCUAGGGCCGCGCAGGCGGUACCAAACCCAACCAAACCACGAAUACCCUGUAAGAUGUUCUUAAGGAGUGAGACUGCGGGUGCUAAGAUUCGUAGUCGAGAGGGAAACAGCCCAGAUCGUCAGCUAAGGUCCCCAAGAUAGUGCUAAGUGGUAAAGGAUGUGGCGUUGCACAGACAGCCAGGAUGUUGGCUUAGAAGCAGCCAUCAUUUAAAGAAAGCGUAAUAGCUCACUGGUCGAGUGGCGUUGCGCCGAAAAUGUAGCGGGGCUAAAGCACUACACCGAAGCUACGGACUUAGACAGACGGUUCAAGCCGUUUAAGCUAUUAUUUUUAAGCGGUUUAAGCCGUCUGUUUAGGUGGUAGGGGAGCAUUCUAUGGACUUGAGAAGGUGAGCUGUGAGGCUUGCUGGAGGAGAUAGAAGGGACUAUGCCGGCAUAAGUAACGUAAAGGCUGAUGAAAAGUCAGCCCGCCGUAAACCUAAGGUUUCCCGGGGAAGGUAAAUCCGCCCGGGGUUAGUCGGUCCUAAGGUGAGGCCAUAUGGCGUAGCUGAUGGACAGCAGGUUAAUAUUCCUGCACCAUUUAUAUAGCGUUUGACCGAAGGGGGGACGCAGGAGGAUAGUUUGGGCCUGGUGAUGGUUCAGGUACAAGCGUUUAGGCUGAUGAGUAGGGAAAUCCGCUCAUUAUUAAGGCUGAGGCGUGAUGUGCAAACUCGCGAGGGUGAACUCAGAUGAUUCCACGCUGACGAGAAAAACCUCGUAGGGAGCUAUGUAAGUGACCGUACCGCAAACCGACACAGGUAGGUGGGUAGAAGAUACCAAGGCGUACGAGACAACCCUCGCUAAGGAACUCGGCAAAAUGACCCCGUAACUUAGGGAGAAGGGGUUCCUAGUGAUAGGACGCAGUAAAGAGGGCCAAGCGACUGUUUACCAAAAACACAGGAGUCUGCUAAUUUGAAAGAAGAAGUAUAGACUCUGACGCCUGCCCGGUGCCGGAAGGUUAAUAGGAGAGGUCAUUGCUGAAAAGUGAGAAGCCUUGAAUUGAAGCCCCGGUAAACGGCGGCCGUAACUAUAACGGUCCUAAGGUAGCGAAAUUCCUUGUCGGGUAAGUUCCG
Molecule: ribosomal RNA, 2103 nt
Filed under: hot springs metagenome
Description: bacterial LSU rRNA
Rfam family: Bacterial large subunit ribosomal RNA
Source: RNAcentral